AAAGUCGUAACAAGGUUUCCGUAGGUGAACCUGCGGAAGGAUCAUUAUUGAAUGAACUUGAUGGAUUGUUGCUGGCUCUAUUUGUAGGGCAUGUGCACGUCUGUCAUUUUUAUCUUUCCACCAUGUGCACUAUGCGUAGACCUGAAUUAUCUCUUUGAUUGAAGGUUUCCUUUGAUUUCUGGAAAUUGCUAUUGCAACUGCAAUAGCUCUUUCUGUAUUCAGGUUCUAUGAAUUUUAUAUACUCCAAUGUAUGUUGACGAACGUUACUCUAAGGCCUUUACAAGCCUAUAAAUUUAUAAUACAACUUUCAGCAACGGAUCUCUUGGCUCUC
This 331-nucleotide unclassified non-coding RNA is filed under the name Basidiomycota sp. RNAcentral describes it as "partial contains small subunit ribosomal RNA, internal transcribed spacer 1, and 5.8S ribosomal RNA". The stretch from base 1 to 47 matches the Rfam family "Eukaryotic small subunit ribosomal RNA", at positions 1785 to 1831 of the family's 1831-position model. Lineage: Eukaryota; Fungi; Basidiomycota. The record is from RNAcentral.